UACGUAGGGGGCUAGCGUUGUCCGGAAUCAUUGGGCGUAAAGCGCGCGUAGGCGGCCCGGUAAGUCCGUUGUGAAAGUCAAAGGCUCAACCUUUGAAAGCCGAUGGAUACUGCCGGGCUGGAGUCCGGAAGAGGCGAGUGGAAUUCCUGGUGUAGCGGUGAAAUGCGCAGAUAUCAGGAGGAACACCUAUUGCGAAGGCAGCUCGCUGGGACGUUACUGACGCUGAGACGCGAAAGCGUGGGGAGCAAACAGG
Molecule: ribosomal RNA, 253 nt
Filed under: uncultured bacterium
Lineage: Bacteria
Description: partial 16S ribosomal RNA
Rfam family: Bacterial small subunit ribosomal RNA
Source: RNAcentral